AUGUACAAAGGGUUUACACAAAGAGUGUACAAAUGAUGUACAAACGUUGUACCAAUUAUGUACAACGGAUGUAUAAAAGGUGUACAAAUGAUGUACGAAGGUUAUACAAAGGUUGCACAAUAGGUGUAGAAAGGGUGUACAAAGGCUGAACAAUGGGUAUAGAAAGAGUGUAUAAAGGUGAAUAAAGGGUGUACAAAGCAUGAAAAAAGGGUGUACAAAGGGUGUACAUAAGGUGUUCCAAAAUUUAGAUAGAUAUACAAAGCGUGUGCAAUGGGUGUACAAAUGGUGUAGAAAUGAUGUAGAAAGGGUGUAUAAAGGGUGUAUGUUGGGUGUACAAAUGGUGUAUAACGGUGUAAAAUGGCUGUACAAAGGACAUACAAAGGGUGUACAAUUGGUGUAUAAAGGGUGUACAAAUGGGGUACAAAGGGUGUAAAAAGGUUGUACAAAGGUUGUACGAAGGGUGUACAAAAGGGUAUACAAAGAGUGUAGAAAAGAUGUACGAAGGGUGUAAAAAAAUGUAGAAAGAUGUAGGAAGGGUGUAGAAAAGGUAUACAAAUAGUGUACAAAGAGUGUAUAAAGAGUGCAUAAAGAGUGCACAAAGAGUGUACAAAGGGUGUUCAGUGGGUGUACAUAGGGUGUAUAGAGGUGUAUAAAAGGUGUACAUAGGGUGUUCAAAGAGUGUACUAAGGGUGUACGAAGGCUGGACAAUGGGUGGAGAAAGUGUGUAUAAAGGUGAAUAAAGGGUGUACAAAGCAUGGACAAAGGGUGCACAAAGGUUGUACAUAAGGUGUUCCGAAAUUUAGAUAUAUAUAUAUAUAAAACGUGUACAAUGGGUGUAUAAAUGGUGUAGAAAUGAUGUAGAAAGGGUGUAUAAAGGGUGUAUAAAAGGUGUAUAAAGGGUGUAUAUUGGGUGUACAAACGGUGUACAUAAGGUUUACCAAAAUGUACAUAGAUAUAGAAAGGGUCUACAAUGGAUGAACAAAGGGAGUAGAAAUGAUGUAUAAAGGGUGUAUAAGUGGAAUAGAAAGCGUGUCGAAAUGGUGUACGAACGUUCUCCAAAUAUAUAGAAAUAGUUAGAAAGGGUCUACCAAUGGUUUACAAAGGGUGUACAAUAGGUGUAUAAUGCAUGUACAAAAUUAGUAGAAAGGGUAUACAAAGGGUGUACAAAGACUGUAUAAAGGGUGUUGAAAAUGUGUACAAAGGCUUUAAAAAUGAUGUAGAAUGGGUUUACAAAGGGUUUAUAAAAGGUGUACAAAUGGAGUAGAAAAGUUUUACAAAGGUAGUACCGAGGGUGUACAACAGGUAUAUAAAAGAUAUAGAAAGGGUGGACAAGGGUGUACAAAGUGAAUACAAAGGGUACAUAAAAUAUGUACAAACGGUGUACAAAAGGUUUAGUAGGGGUGUACAAAGGGUGUCUGAACGGUAAUAAAAGUGUUACAAAGGGUUUACACAAGAUGUACAAAGGGUGUACAAUGAUGUAGAUAGAUAUAGAAAAGGUGUACAAAGGGUUUACACAAAGAGUGUACAAAUGAUGUACAAACGUUGUACCAAUGAUGUACAAAGGGUGUGUAAAAGGUGUACAAAUUAUGUACGAAGGUUAUACAAAGGUGAAUAAAAGGUGUACAAAGCAUGAAAAAAUGGUGUACAAAGGGUGUACAUAAGGUGUUCCAAAAUUUAGAUAGAUAUACAAAGCGUGUGCAAUGGGUGUACAAAUGGUGUAGAAAUGAUGUAAAAAGGGUGUAUAAAGGGUGUACAAAUGGUGUACAAAGGGUGUAAAAAGGUUGUACAAAGGUUGUACGGAGGGUAUACAAAACGAAACACAAAGAGUGUAGAAAAGAUGUACGAAGGUUGUAAAAAAUGUAGAAAGAUGUAGGAAGGGUGUAGAAAAGGGAUACAAAUAGUGUACAAAGAGUGUAUAAAAGGUGCAUAAAGAGUGUACAAAGAGUGUACAAAGGGUGUGCGAUGGGUGUACAAAGGGUGUAUGGAAGUGUAUAAAAGGUGUACAUAGGGUGUUCAAAGAGUGUACUAAGGGUGUACAAAAGGCUGCACAAUGGGUGUAGAAAGUGUGUAUAAAGGUGAAUAAAGGGUGUACAAAGGAUGGACAAAGGGUGCACAAAGGGUGUACAUAAGGUGUUCCGAAAUUUAGAUAUAUAUAAAAAACGUGUACAAUGGGUGUAUAAAUGGUGUAGAAAUGUACAUAGAAAGGAUGUAUAAAGGGUGUAUAAAAGGUGUAUAAAGGGUGUAUAUUAGGUGUACAAACGGUGUACAUAAGGUGUACCAAAAUGUACAUAGAUAUAGAAAGGGUCUACAAUAGAUGUACAAAGGGUGUAGAAAUGAUGUAUAAAGGGUGAAUAAAUGGUAUCGAAAGCGUGUCGAAAUGGUGUACGAACGGUCUACAAAUAUAUAGAAAUAGUUAUAAAGGGUCUACCAAUGGUUUACAAAGGGUGUACAAUAGGUGUAUUAUGGGUGUACAAAAUUAGUACAAAGGGUAUACAAAGGGGUACAAAGACUGUAUAAGGGGUGUUGAAAGUGUGUACAUAGGCUUUAAAAAUGAUUUAGAGUGGGUUUACAAAGGGUUUAUAAAAGGUGUACAAAUGCAGUAGAAAAGUUGUACAAAGGUAGUACCGAGGGUGUACAAAAGG
Vigna radiata var. radiata (mung bean) is the source of this 2642-nucleotide long non-coding RNA. RefSeq lists it as uncharacterized. NCBI's taxonomy places the organism in Eukaryota, Viridiplantae, Streptophyta, Magnoliopsida, Fabales, Fabaceae. The record is from RefSeq and is a predicted model, not a curated record. The transcript has 2 exons.